RNAcentral lists this ribosomal RNA (481 nucleotides) under uncultured bacterium. RNAcentral describes it as "partial 16S ribosomal RNA". It matches the Rfam family "Bacterial small subunit ribosomal RNA", at positions 28 to 507 of the family's 1533-position model. The record is from RNAcentral.
GAUGAACGCUGGCGGCGUGCUUAACACAUGCCAGUCGAACGAAGCAUUUGCGACAGAUUUUUUCGGAAUGAAGUUGCUUAUGACUGAGUGGCGGACGGGUGAGUAACGCGUGGGUAACCUGCCUUGUACUGGGGGAUAGCAGCUGGAAACGGCUGGUAAUACCGCAUAAGCGCACAAUGUUGCAUGACAUGGUGUGAAAAACUCCGGUGGUAUAAGAUGGACCCGCGUCUGAUUAGCUAGUUGGUGAGAUAACAGCCCACCAAGGCGACGAUCAGUAGCCGACCUGAGAGGGUGACCGGCCACAUUGGGACUGAGACACGGCCCAGACUCCUACGGGAGGCAGCAGUGGGGAAUAUUGCACAAUGGAGGAAACUCUGAUGCAGCGACGCCGCGUGAGUGAAGAAGUAAUUCGUUAUGUAAAGCUCUAUCAGCAGGGAAGAUAGUGACGGUACCUGACGAAGAAGCGCCGGCUAAAUACGUG